Molecule: long non-coding RNA, 2809 nt
Organism: Eriocheir sinensis (Chinese mitten crab)
Lineage: Eukaryota; Metazoa; Arthropoda; Malacostraca; Decapoda; Varunidae
Exons: 4
Source: RefSeq, a predicted model, not a curated record
UGUGAAGCUCUCCACAGAUAACAGUGGUGACAGCACCAUGUUCUUCAGUGAUGGCGGGCAGUGAUGGAGGGUGCCAUGUGAAGCUCUCCACAGAUAACAGUGGUGACAGCAUCAUGUUCUUCAGUGAUGUUGGGCAGUGAUGGAGGGUGCCAUGUGAAGCUCUCCACAGAUAACAGUGGUGACAGCACCAUGUUCUUCAGUGAUGUUGGGCAGUGAUGGAGGGUGCCAUGUGAAGCUCUCCACAGAUAACAGUGGUGACAGCAUCAUGUUCUUCAGUGAUGUUGGGCAGUGAUGGAGGGUGCCAUGUGAAGCUCUCCACAGAUAACAGUGGUGACAGCACCAUGUUCUUCAGUGAUGGCAGGCAGUGAUGGAGGGUGCCAUGUGAAGCUCUCCAGAGAUAACAGUGGUGACAGCAUCAUGUUCUUCAGUGAUGGCGGGCAGUGAUGGAGGGUGCCAUGUGAAGCUCUCCACAGAUAACAGUGGUGACAGCACCAUGUUCUUCAGUGAUGUUGGGCAGUGAUGGAGGGUGCCAUGUGAAGCUCUCCACAGAUAACAGUGGUGACAGCACCAUGUUCUUCAGUGAUGGAGGGUGCCAUGUGAAGCUCUCCACAGAUAACAGUGGUGACAGCAUCAUGUUCUUCAGUGAUGUUGGGCAGUGAUGGAGGGUGCCAUGUGAAGCUCUCCAGAGAUAACAGUGGUGACAGCAUCAUGUUCUUCAGUGAUGUUGGGCAGUGAUGGAGGGUGCCAUGUGAAGCUCUCCAGAGAUAACAGUGGUGACAGCAUCAUGUUCUUCAGUGAUGGCUGGCAGUGAUGGAGGGUGCCAUGUGAAGCUCUCCAGAGAUAACAGUGGUGACAGCAUCAUGUUCUUCAGUGAUGUUGGGCAGUGAUGGAGGGUGCCAUGUGAAGCUCUCCACAGAUAACAGUGGUGACAGCACCAUGUUCUUCAGUGAUGUUGGGCAGUGAUGGAGGGUGCCAUGUGAAACUCUCCACAGAUAACAGUGGUGACAGCACCAUGUUCUUCAGUGAUGUUGGGCAGUGAUGGAGGGUGCCAUGUGAAGCUCUCCACAGAUAACAGUGGUGACAGCACCAUGUUCUUCAGUGAUGGCGGGCAGUGAUGGAGGGUGCCAUGUGAAGCUCUCCACAGAUAACAGUGGUGACAGCAUCAUGUUCUUCAGUGAUGGCGGGCAGUGAUGGAGGGUGCCAUGUGAAGCUCUCCAGAGAUAACUGUGGUGACAGCACCAUGUUCUUCAGUGAUGGCAGGCAGUGAUGGAGGGUGCCAUGUGAAGCUCUCCAGAGAUAACAGUGGUGACAGCACCAUGUUCUUCAGUGAUGUUGGGCAGUGAUGGAGGGUGCCAUGUGAAGCUCUCCAGAGAUAACAGUGGUGACAGCACCAUGUUCUUCAGUGAUGUUGGGCAGUGAUGGAGGGUGCCAUGUGAAGCUCUCCACAGAUAACAGUGGUGACAGCACCAUGUUCUUCAGUGAUGGCGGGCAGUGAUGGAGGGUGCCAUGUGAAGCUCUCCAGAGAUAACAGUGGUGACAGCACCAUGUUCUUCAGUGAUGGCGGGGGCCCUCACCAGUCUUCUUCAUUAAGCUUCUGUCUUCCUGCUUCAGGCUGCAAUCAAACAGUUGUUUAGUACCACAUUAAUAUGUUUGGGGCAGAUUGAAUUAUAGCUAACAUAGUAUACUGUUUGAUUGAAUAUUUGAAAGAAUCAAACCUAAACUAACAUACUGUUUGAUUGAAUAUUUGAAAGAAUCAAACCUAAACUAACAUACUGUUUGAUUGAAUAUUUGAAAGAAUCAAACCUAAACUAACAUACUGUUUGAUUGAAUAUUUGAAAGAAUCAAACCUAAACUAACAUACUGUUUGAUUGAAUAUUUGAAAGAAUCAAACCUAAACUAACAUACUGUUUGAUUGAAUAUUUGAAAGAAUCAAACCUAAACUAACAUACUGUUUGAUUGAAUAUUUGAAAGAAUCAAACCUAAACUAACCAGGUUACCCCAUUCCCAAGCUUGCAGGGUAGGCACUGAAAAAGGUAGAUUGAAAAACAGAACUGUAUUACUAACCUAAAUGAAUGUAUUAUUCUAGUGUUUGUGUUAGAGAUAGGUUUACUGUUCAACAGGAUGAGGUAGGGUUGUUAAGUUUGAAAAUGGCUCUUAAUGAAGCAGUAAUAGGUUACUAUUUUGUCUGUGAUUGUUAAAUUAUUAGCAUGUUUAAAAGCUACAACUGCUAUAUGCUACAUAGUAAUAUUCUAUGUAUCUAUAUAUCUUUCCCUUUGCCCUAAUUAAAGGUUAAAUUCAAUAUCAAUGAAAAUUUCUGCUCUUAUAAAUUGUCAAAAUGAGUUGUAGCCUAUUCCUAACUGAUCAGAAUUAGUUUGCAUCCUGAGAACACGUGAUUGAUGUAGUAUUUGUUUCAAUAGGCUAGAAAUUUAUCAUUUAAAUCAACACAAGGUUAUGUUAGCCAGUCAUUCAUUACACAUGUUUUUCUUUAGUUUGAGACAAGGUUAUGUUAGCCAGUCAUUCAUUACACAUGUUUUUCUUUAGUUUGAGACAAGGUUAUGUUAGCCAGUCAUUCAUUACAUGUGUUUUUCUUUAGUUUGAGACAAGGUUAUGUUAGCCAGUCAUUCAUUACACAUGUUUUUCUUUAGUUUGAGACAAGGUUAUGUUAGCCAGUCAUUCAUUACAUAUGUUUUUCUUUAGUUUGAGACAAGGUUAUGUUAGCCAGUCAUUCAUUACAUGUGUUUUUCUUUAGUUUGAGACAAGGUUAUGUUAGCCAGUCAUUCAUUACACAUGUUUUUCUUUAGUUUGAGAC